This 460-nucleotide ribosomal RNA is filed under the name uncultured bacterium. Its description in RNAcentral is "partial 16S ribosomal RNA". It matches the Rfam family "Bacterial small subunit ribosomal RNA", at positions 338 to 795 of the family's 1533-position model. The record is from RNAcentral.
CCUACGGGAGGCAGCAGUGAGGAAUAUUUGUCAAUGGACGAGAGUCUGAACCAGCCAAGUAGCGUGAAGGAUGACUGCCCUAUGGGUUGUAAACUUCUUUUAUAUGGGAAUAAAAUGUUCCACGUGUGGGAUUUUGUAUGUACCAUAUGAAUAAGGAUCGGCUAACUCCGUGCCAGCAGCCGCGGUAAUACGGAUGAUCCGAUCGUUAUCCGGAUUUAUUGGGUUUAAAGGGAGCGUAGGUGGAUUGUUAAGUCAGUUGUGAAAGUUUGCGGCUCAACCGUAAAAGUGCAGUUGAAACUGGCAGUCUUGAGUACAGUAGAGGUGGGCGGAAGUCGUGGUGUAGCGGUGAAAUGCUUAGAUAUCACGAAGAACUCCGAUUGCGAAGGCAGUUCACUGGACUGCAACUGACACUGAGGCUCGAAAGUGUGGGUAUCAAACAGGAUUAGAUACCCUAGUAGUC